Non-coding RNA from Salmo salar (Atlantic salmon), 73 nucleotides. NCBI's taxonomy places the organism in Eukaryota, Metazoa, Chordata, Actinopteri, Salmoniformes, Salmonidae. The record is from Rfam.
UCCCGUGUGGCUCAGUUGGUAGAGCAUGGUGUUUGCAACGCCAGGGUUGUGGGUUCGAUUCCCACGGGGGGGG